This 274-nucleotide ribosomal RNA is filed under the name uncultured bacterium. RNAcentral's name for it is "partial 16S ribosomal RNA". It matches the Rfam family "Bacterial small subunit ribosomal RNA", at positions 523 to 796 of the family's 1533-position model. The record is from RNAcentral.
AUACGAAGGGGGCAAGCGUUGUUCGGAAUAACUGGGCGUAAAGCGCACGUAGGCGGAAUGUUAAGUUAGAGGUGAAAUCCCAGGGCUCAACCCUGGAACUGCCUUUAAUACUGGCAAUCUAGAGACCGAGAGAGGUGAGUGGAAUUCCGAGUGUAGAGGUGAAAUUCGUAGAUAUUCGGAGGAACACCAGUGGCGAAGGCGGCUCACUGGCUCGGUACUGACGCUGAGGCGCGAAAGCGUGGGGAGCAAACAGGAUUAGAAACCCCAGUAGUCC